UUUUAUAUCGCAAGCCCUUUUGACCAUUCAAUCCACCUUUAAGUUACCCACGGACCUCAAAUAAACAAUCACGUCGGGACGUACACAAUUUGUCAGCCACUUGUCAGGUGCAGUCUACCCAAUUUAAAUAUUCCUGCUCUCUCUCUCGCGCGCACCCGUCCAUCUUGGUGACUUGCGGGUUCCCCGUAAACAGUUACCGAAGCGCGCCUCUGCACUCGGCCAUCAGAAACUGUGAACGCGCUCGAAAAACGGCCUCAGACGCGUGCCUCUGCACCUAGAAGUUUGAGCCCCACGGCUUGCCCUCGGAGCACCUGUAGGCCACCAGAUACAGUAUUAGAAAACCGCCGGUAUAACUUUGUGCUGCUGCCGUGUUAAUCUAUGAAUCGUCACCAAAACAGAAACAAAUGGAGACAUCACAGUGGAGAGAGUAUGGAGGAUUGAUGGCAUGAUCUCGAAAGUGAAAGAUAAGCUGGACCUGUACUACUUUGGAAGAAUAUUUAAAUAUCUGUAAAUAACUGUGUAGUAACCGUAGCCUAUGCUUAAAAACACUGAAAGGAGUGUUUCUUUUUGUACAGUAUCAAGAGGAAUCCAGGGGCCAAAACUGUAGUAUGAAACAAAAUAUUUUGUACCAUAAAUUUCAAAUGCAUUCUCUUACAAAAGUAAAAUGUUCUGUUAAAAGCAUGAUGUUUAUUAAAUAGUUAUAUCUAUUUUACAAGUAUAUUUAUUGAAACAUGUUUAAAAUGUGUGACUAGAUUUUCACUAAACAAUAUAAUUUAUUACAUGAAAUACAUUAAAGUGACAGGCAAACGUGUGAUUGGUUCAACAUACUUUAAAAGAAGUUCACACUUAUAGAAUUAAUACUUUCAAAGUCAGGAUGUGUUGUGGCUCUUGGAUCUUCCCUUUCUGUCCCACUGAAACCUGACAUCAACAUUAAAAAAAACAAAAAACUCAUCACCACUUGCAGUUUGGGCUUGGAGCUCUUUGGUGUUCAGUUAAUCCUUUCUUCUGUGCUUUUGACCAAUACAUUAUAUUCUGUGCUUUUGACCAAUACACUAUAUUGAUAGCAGAUGGUUCAAUUGCAUGCCAAAACAUUCUGAAGACCCACUCAUAAGGAAAACGCAUGUAAAACUGAAAAUCCACAUCAGAUGCGCAAAAUCUGUUGAUCUGCAGUGGUGACAUUCUGACUUUCAUCAGUUCUUUUUCCAGUUUGCUCCAGCUCCUGUAUAUUAAUGGCAACAGCAUCUAGUGGACCU
This is a long non-coding RNA of Polypterus senegalus (gray bichir), 1253 nucleotides long. RefSeq lists it as uncharacterized. The transcript is spliced from 3 exons. Lineage: Eukaryota; Metazoa; Chordata; Cladistia; Polypteriformes; Polypteridae. The record is from RefSeq and is a predicted model, not a curated record.